GACGAACGCUGGCGGCGUGCUUAACACAUGCAAGUCGAACGAAGAGCGAUGGAACCUUGCUUCUAUCAAUCUUAGUGGCGAACGGGUGAGUAACGCGUAAUCAACCUGCCCUUCAGAGGGGGACAACAGUUGGAAACGACUGCUAAUACCGCAUACGAUCUAAACUCGGCAUCGAGGAUAGAUGAAAGGAGGCCUCUACAUGUAAGCUAUCACCGAAGGAGGGGAAUGCGUCUGAUUAGCUCGGUGGAGGGGUAACGGCCCACCAAGGCGAUGGGCAGUAGCCGGUCUGAGAGGAUGAACGGCCACAUUGGGACUGAGACACGGCCCAGACGCCUACGGGAGGCAGCAGUGGUGAAUCUUCCGCAAUGGACGAAAGUCUGACGGAGCAACGCCGCGUGAGUGAUGACGGCCGUCGGGUUGUAAAGCUCUGUUAAUCGGGACGAAAGGCCUUCUUGCGAAUAGUGAGAAGGAUUGACGGUACCGGAAGAGAAAGCCACGGCUAACUACGUG
This 510-nucleotide ribosomal RNA is filed under the name uncultured bacterium. RNAcentral describes it as "partial 16S ribosomal RNA". It matches the Rfam family "Bacterial small subunit ribosomal RNA", at positions 28 to 507 of the family's 1533-position model. The record is from RNAcentral.